Molecule: ribosomal RNA, 433 nt
Filed under: uncultured bacterium
Lineage: Bacteria
Description: partial 16S ribosomal RNA
Rfam family: Bacterial small subunit ribosomal RNA
Source: RNAcentral
AACGAACGCUGGCGGCAUGCCUAACACAUGCAAGUCGAACGAGACCUUCGGGUCUAGUGGCGCACGGGUGCGUAACCCGUGGGAACCUGCCCUUAGGUUCGGAAUAACUCCCCGAAAGGGGUGCUAAUACCGGAUAAUGUCUUCGGACCAAAGAUUUAUCGCCUUUGGAUGGGCCCGCGUUGGAUUAGCUAUUUGUUAGGGUAAAAGCAUACCAAGGCGUGCAUCCAUAGCUGGUUAGGGAGGAAGGUCAGCCACACUGGGACUGAGACACGGCCCAGACUCCUACGGGAGGCGGCAGAGGGGAAUAUUGGAAAAUGGGGGGAAGGAUGAUCCAGCACUGCCGCGUGAGUGAUGAAGGCAGUAGGGUUGAAAAGCUCUUUUACCCGGGAUGAUAAUGACAGUACCGGAAGAAUAAGCUCCGGCUAACUACGUG